AGAGCGAACGCUGGCGGCAGGCCUAACACAUGCAAGUCGAGCGCCCGUAGCAAUACGGGAGCGGCAGACGGGAUAGUAACACGUGGGAACGCGCCCUUCGGUUCGGAAUAACUCAGGGAAACUUGAGCUAAUACCGAAUACGCCCUUACGGGGAAAGAUUUAUUGCCGAAGGAACGGCCCGCGUCCGAUUAGCUAGUUGGUGAGGUAAUGGCUCACCAAGGCUACGAUCGGUAGCUGGUCUGAGAGGAUGACCAGCAUCACUGGGACUGAGACACGGCCCAGACUCCUACGGGAGGCAGCAGUGGGGAUAUUGGACAAUGGGCGCAAGCCUGAUCCAGCCAUGCCGCGUGGAUGAUGAAGGCCUUAGGGUUGUAAAGUCCUUUUAACGGGAAGAUAAUGACGGUACCCGUAGAAUAAGCCCGGCUAACUUCGUGCCAGCAGCCGC
RNAcentral lists this ribosomal RNA (445 nucleotides) under uncultured bacterium. RNAcentral's name for it is "SSU rRNA". It matches the Rfam family "Bacterial small subunit ribosomal RNA", at positions 26 to 518 of the family's 1533-position model. The record is from RNAcentral.